GAGAGGUGGCAGAGCGGUUGAAUGCACUAGUCUUGAAAACUAGCAAGGGGGCAACUCCUUCGAGGGUUCGAAUCCCUCCCUCUCC
The sequence is a transfer RNA, 85 nucleotides long. It matches the Rfam family "tRNA". Rfam says of the family: Transfer RNA (tRNA) molecules are approximately 80 nucleotides in length. Their secondary structure includes four short double-helical elements and three loops (D, anti-codon, and T loops).